RNAcentral lists this ribosomal RNA (484 nucleotides) under uncultured bacterium. Its description in RNAcentral is "partial 16S ribosomal RNA". It matches the Rfam family "Bacterial small subunit ribosomal RNA", at positions 28 to 523 of the family's 1533-position model. The record is from RNAcentral.
GAUGAACGCUGGCGGCGUGCUUAACACAUGCAAGUCGAACGGUGAAGCAGGAGCUUGCUCUUGUGGAUCAGUGGCGAACGGGUGAGUAGCACGUGAGCAACCUGCCCCUGACUCUGGGAUAAGCGCUGGAAACGGCGUCUAAUACUGGAUAUGUGACGUUACCGCAUGGUCUGCACCUGGAAAGAAUUUCGGUUGGGGAUGGGCUCGCGGCCUAUCAGCUUGUUGGUGAGGUAAUGGCUCACCAAGGCGUCGACGGGUAGCCGGCCUGAGAGGGUGACCGGCCACACUGGAACCGAGACACGGCCCAGACUCCUACGGGAGGCAGCAGUGGGGAAUAUUGCACAAUGGGCGGAAGCCUGAUGCAGCAACGCCGCGUGAGGGAUGACGGCCUUCGGGUUGUAAACCUCUUUUAGCAGGGAAGAAGCGAAAGUGACGGUACCUGCAGAAAAAGCACCGGCUAACUGCGUGCCAGCCGCCGCGGUAA